AGUAGAGCGGGACAUUUAAUUUACUCUCAGCGGAAUUGACCGGAGAAGGCAUCAGUUCAUGCACUGCACUGGCCCGCACCACGAUUAGUAUAAGGCACAUUUCACGAAGCAGAACGCAGUCUUCAGAGAUAUCCACGUGAACGCUGUGAUACGUCUGACCUUCAGUCCGAAGAAGAAACCCAGACCAGUCUUAAAAGAAAGCACAAACCAAAUCCCCUGUACACAUAUACGGACUCAGAGGAUGAGUUUUUUUGUGGGGAAAGCCUACAAAAAAACGGUUUCCCCAGGCCCCUCGAGUGAAAAUACCAGCCCUCAUCACUCCGCAGUCUGCCCCCCAGCCCACUGAUAGCAACCAUCAUAAUGCCCCACCCAGCUUCCGGCACCUUUCGCCACUCCGGCACAAACCGACACAGCUUUGCGAUCUCGCCAGCAUGCAGAGUCUGAUGUCUUCCCUAUAGAUGGUAUGCUUUUAAAAAAGCUUUAAAGCUGCAUCACAAUGUCAUUGUACUCUUAUCUUCAAAACACCAGUUUAUACUCCUGAAUGUCAUCUUGUUGUGAUUUUUUUUUUCUGUAGAUUCCAGAGACUCUGUGAGGCCACUAUUAC
This is a long non-coding RNA of Pelmatolapia mariae (spotted tilapia), 604 nucleotides long. RefSeq lists it as uncharacterized. The transcript is spliced from 4 exons. NCBI's taxonomy places the organism in Eukaryota, Metazoa, Chordata, Actinopteri, Cichliformes, Cichlidae. The record is from RefSeq and is a predicted model, not a curated record.